RNAcentral lists this ribosomal RNA (722 nucleotides) under uncultured archaeon. RNAcentral's name for it is "bacterial SSU rRNA". It matches the Rfam family "Archaeal small subunit ribosomal RNA", at positions 137 to 859 of the family's 1478-position model. The record is from RNAcentral.
AAACUGAGGAUAAUACUGGAUAGGCAAUUUUUCCUGUAAUGGUUUUUUGUUUAAAUGUUUUUUCGCCUAAGGAUGGGUCUGCGGCCGAUUAGGUAGUUGGUUAGGUAACGGCUUACCAAGCCGUUGAUCGGUACGGGUUGUGAGAGCAAGAGCCCGGAGAUGGAACCUGAGACAAGGUUCCAGGCCCUACGGGGUGCAGCAGGCGCGAAACCUCCGCAAUGUGAGAAAUCGCGACGGGGGGAUCCCAAGUGCCAUUCUUAACGGGAUGGCUUUUCAUUAGUGUAAAAAGCUUUUGGAAUAAGAGCUGGGCAAGACCGGUGCCAGCCGCCGCGGUAACACCGGCAGCUCUAGUGGUAGCAAUUUUUAUUGGGCCUAAAGCGUCCGUAGCCGGUUUAAUAAGUCUCUGGUGAAAUCCUGUAGCUUAACUGUGGGAAUUGCUGGAGAUACUAUUAGACUUGAGACCGGGAGAGGUUAGAGGUACUCCCAGGGUAGAGGUGAAAUUCUGUAAUCCUGGGAGGACCGCCUGUUGCGAAGGCGUCUAACUGGAACGGUUCUGACGGUGAGGGACGAAAGUUAGGGGCGCGAACCGGAUUAGAUACCCGGGUAGUCCUAACUGUAAACGAUGCGGACUUGGUGUUGGGGUGGCUUUGAGCUGCUCCGGUGCCGAAGGGAAGCUGUUAAGUCCGCCGCCUGGGAAGUACGGUCGCAAGACUGAAACUUAA